Molecule: ribosomal RNA, 881 nt
Filed under: uncultured Halomonas sp.
Lineage: Bacteria; Pseudomonadati; Pseudomonadota; Gammaproteobacteria; Oceanospirillales; Halomonadaceae
Description: bacterial SSU rRNA
Rfam family: Bacterial small subunit ribosomal RNA
Source: RNAcentral
UUUGAUCCUGGCUCAGAUUGAACGCUGGCGGCAGGCCUAACACAUGCAAGUCGAGCGGCAGCACGGGAAGCUUGCUUCCUGGUGGCGAGCGGCGGACGGGUGAGUAAUGCAUAGGAAUCUGCCCGGUAGUGGGGGAUAACCUGGGGAAACCCAGGCUAAUACCGCAUACGUCCUACGGGAGAAAGCAGGGGCUCUUCGGACCUUGCGCUAUCGGAUGAGCCUAUGUCGGAUUAGCUGGUUGGUGAGGUAAUGGCUCACCAAGGCGACGACCCGUAGCUGGUCUGAGAGGAUGAUCAGCCACAUCGGGACUGAGACACGGCCCGAACUCCUACGGGAGGCAGCAGUGGGGAAUAUUGGACAAUGGGCGCAAGCCUGAUCCAGCCAUGCCGCGUGUGUGAAGAAGGCCCUCGGGUUGUAAAGCACUUUCAGUGGGGAAGAAAGCCUUCCGGUUAAUACCCGGGAGGAAGGACAUCACCCACAGAAGAAGCACCGGCUAACUCCGUGCCAGCAGCCGCGGUAAUACGGAGGGUGCGAGCGUUAAUCGGAAUUACUGGGCGUAAAGCGCGCGUAGGUGGCUUGAUAAGCCGGUUGUGAAAGCCCCGGGCUCAACCUGGGAACGGCAUCCGGAACUGUCAGGCUAGAGUGCAGGAGAGGAAGGUAGAAUUCCCGGUGUAGCGGUGAAAUGCGUAGAGAUCGGGAGGAAUACCAGUGGCGAAGGCGGCCUUCUGGACUGACACUGACACUGAGGUGCGAAAGCGUGGGUAGCAAACAGGAUUAGAUACCCUGGUAGUCCACGCCGUAAACGAUGUCGACUAGCCGUUGGGUCCUUCGCGGACUUUGUGGCGCAGUUAACGCGAUAAGUCGACCGCCUGGGGAGUACG